This 2267-nucleotide long non-coding RNA is filed under the name Pan troglodytes (chimpanzee). Its description in RNAcentral is "long non-coding RNA NONPTRT006258". Lineage: Eukaryota; Metazoa; Chordata; Mammalia; Primates; Hominidae. The record is from RNAcentral.
AUUCAGUGUGUGACCUCAGGCAGGUCACCAGCCUGAGCUGUGCCUUCAUUUCAUCUGUCAGACGGAUGACUCUGCCCCUCAGAGCUUGCAGACGGCAAGAAGGAAGGAAGCUGACGUUUAUUGAGGGUCUGCUCUGGGCUGCGUACCGUACACGGGUGACAUCGCCAAUUUCCCCCAGGUGAUAAGGAACAAUAUGGACUUCUUGCAGCUCCGGGAGGCAGACGCUGGAGGGCUGGUGACCUGAUCCCACAAAGCCCCGGAGGUGCUGUGGACCAACUUGCAACACAAGACGCUAGGAGGGAGGACGGCUGUUGGCAUCUGUUGACCACAAACACGUUUGCUGUGCACACUUGUGCACAUGGGUGAGCUCCGUGGGUCCAGACAUGUACAGGGCAGGUGAAUGCAUUGAGUACCAUGGGCAUUAUCCCAGGCCCACAGGCACGUGCAGUCACACACACACGUGGACAUGCCACUGCGCACCUAAGAGACACACACACACACACACACAUGCAUAUGCACACACACACAUAUGCACACACACACAGACACUGUAAACAUCAGGCUCAAAGGCCCAUCCAGGAGACCAAAGGCUGCAGGUGUCUUCACAUCACAGCCCAGGUGACCUUGUCUCUGGCUCAGGGCCCAGUGGCCUGGCCAGCUCUGGACAUCCAGUCAGCCUCACUAGCUGGCCUGGGGUCCAGGGCUCGAAAGUGGCGGAGGAAUGACCACCCACUGGCGGAGGUAGCUCCGGGGGGGUCCUUCAUCCCCGGGGCUGGUGAAGUCACACUCCACAGGGCUGCUGCAGUCAGAGCCCACAAAGCCACUGUCAAACGUGUCCAUAUCCAGGCCGGCCAGGGGUGAGCCCGCCUCACUCUCUGAGACCCCUCCAGGUGACCGGCCACCCCAGGGCAGUCCCCCAGCCCAGUCCUCCCCAUCUGCAAGGGGUGGCUUUAGUCUGUCCAGGAGGCUUCCCAGGGGCCCUCCCAGCCCAGGGCUGCCAGCUGAGACACAGCCACAGGAGAGGACUGUGGUCCCUGCACCCAAGAGUGGGUCCUCUAGGCCUGGGCUGGGCUCCAGGCCAGCAUCCAGGUCCAGGGCUGGGUAGCCGUCAUCCUCACAGCUGCAGGGCCAGGUGCAUGGCCCCUCUGCAUCUAGCACAGUCACUGUGUCAAUGGACACCAGGCCGUAUGGCCGGUCCCUCUCCUCACUGUAAGCUGAGCCCCCCAAGUUCUGGGCUGUCGGCCAGAAGCUGGGCUUGGGCACACCGUCAGACUCCACCAGCUCUGCUGGUUCUUGUAGCUCCGUGAGCUGCAGCCUCUUGGCCGGGCUCCGUGGUGGGUGGCAGCUGUACACCUCCAGGGUGGAGGGCACCUCUGGGCUCCAGGGUCCCAGCUCCAGGCUAGAGCCAGUGAAGGGUGCACCCACCCAUUUCUGUGAGAGAGAAAAAGAGAGAGUCAUAGCACAGGAUGAGGGUAAGGUGAGGGUUUAUUUUUCUUUUACUUUUAUUCUUUUGAGACAGUCUGGCUCUGCUGCCCAGGCUGGAAUGCAGUGGUGCCAUCUCGGUUCACUGCAACCUCUGCCUCCCAGGAUCAAGUGAUUCUCCUGCCUCAGCCUCCCAAGUAGCUGGGACUGCAGGCGCCUGUCACCACACCCGGCUAAUUUUUGUAUUUUUAGUAGAGACGUGGUUUCACCAUGUUGGCCAGACUGAUCUUGAACUCCUGACGUCAGGUGAUCCACCCGCCUCAGCCUCCCAAAGUGUUGGGAUUACAGGCGUGAGUCACUGUGCCCAGCCAAGGUGAGGGUUUAAACAGACAGAAAGGCAGACACAGACACAGAGACAAGACAAAGAGACAUCAAGAGAGACAGACAGAGACAUGAAGAUAGACAAAAGACACCGAGAGACAGAGAGAGAGAGAGGAAUCAGGACCACAAUGUGCUCCCACCCUAGUGGAUCCCCCUCCUACUCUGGGCCUCAGUUUCCCUACUUGUAGAAGGGAGUUGCUACCCUUAGUAGUGUGACCAGUCAGACAACUGGUGGCCCCAUAGUCCAGGCAGGGACCAAGAUUCCUGAGUCAAGGAGACAUGGGGGCAGGAGGGCCUGAGGUCUGAGGUACCCCUGAGCCAUCUCCUGCUUUCCCGCCUCCUUGAUGCUUCUUGAAACCUAGCACUCUCCUGGUUUAUGUGUCCCCACCAGACAGACACUUGGCCCCUGGACAUAAGUCUUGUCUCUUCUGUCCAUGGCUGUAGCCCCAGUGCCUAGCACAAAG